Molecule: ribosomal RNA, 398 nt
Filed under: uncultured bacterium
Lineage: Bacteria
Description: partial 16S ribosomal RNA
Rfam family: Bacterial small subunit ribosomal RNA
Source: RNAcentral
AUACGUAGGGUGCGAGCGUUGUCCGGAAUUACUGGGCGUAAAGAGCUCGUAGGUGGUUUGUCGCGUCGUCUGUGAAAUUCCGGGGCUUGACUCCGGGCGUGCAGGCGAUACGGGCAUAACUUGAGUACUGUAGGGGAGACUGGAAUUCCUGGUGUAGCGGUGAAAUGCGCAGAUAUCAGGAGGAACACCGGUGGCGAAGGCGGGUCUCUGGGCAGUAACUGACGCUGAGGAGCGAAAGCAUGGGUAGCGAACAGGAUUAGAUACCCUGGUAGUCCAUGCCGUAAACGGUGGGCGCUAGGUGUAGGGGUCUUCCACGACUUCUGUGCCGUAGCUAACGCAUUAAGCGCCCCGCCUGGGGAGUACGGCCGCAAGGCUAAAACUCAAAGGAAUUGACGGGG